CUACGGGAGGCAGCAGUAGGGAAUAUUGGACAAUGGGCGCAAGCCUGAUCCAGCCAUGCCGCGUGAGUGAAGAAGGCCUUCGGGUUGUAAAGCUCUUUUGUCCGGAAAGAAAAGCUUCGGGUCAAUACCCCGGAGUCCUGACGGUACCGGAAGAAUAAGCACCGGCUAACUUCGUGCCAGCAGCCGCGGUAAUACGAAGGGUGCAAGCGUUACUCGGAAUUACUGGGCGUAAAGCGUGCGUAGGUGGUUUGUUAAGUCUGAUGUGAAAGCCCUGGGCUCAACCUGGGAAUGGCAUUGGAUACUGGCAGGCUAGAGUGCGGUAGAGGGUAGUGGAAUUCCCGGUGUAGCAGUGAAAUGCGUAGAGAUCGGGAGGAACAUCUGUGGCGAAGGCGACUACCUGGACCAGCACUGACACUGAGGCACGAAAGCGUGGGGAGCAAACAGGAUUAGAUACCCUGGUAGUCCACGCCCUAAACGAUGCGAACUGGAUGUUGGGCUCAACUUGGAGCUCA
RNAcentral lists this ribosomal RNA (512 nucleotides) under uncultured Lysobacteraceae bacterium. Its description in RNAcentral is "bacterial SSU rRNA". It matches the Rfam family "Bacterial small subunit ribosomal RNA", at positions 339 to 842 of the family's 1533-position model. The record is from RNAcentral. Lineage: Bacteria; Pseudomonadati; Pseudomonadota; Gammaproteobacteria; Lysobacterales; Lysobacteraceae.